Molecule: long non-coding RNA, 130 nt
Organism: Etheostoma spectabile (orangethroat darter)
Lineage: Eukaryota; Metazoa; Chordata; Actinopteri; Perciformes; Percidae
Exons: 3
Source: RefSeq, a predicted model, not a curated record
UUGAAGGCUUUAGGAAGAAUGCAGAAUGGAAAGAGAUCACUCAUGUGGUCAACAGUAUUGCCGUAGUAAAUCGGACACCAGCUGAAGUUUAUUUAAUUUAUACAUUCUUGACGUAUUUUCUAUGGGCCUG